UAAGCAUAUCAAUAAGCGGAGGAAAAGAAACCAACAGGGAUUGCCUUAGUAGCGGCGAAGUGAAGCGGCAAAAGCUCAAAUUUGAAAUCUGGCACUUUCAGUGUCCGAGUUGUAAUUUGAAGAAGGUAUCUUUGGGUCUGGCUCUUGUCUAUGUUUCUUGGAACAGAACGUCACAGAGGGUGAGAAUCCCGUGCGAUGAGAUGUCCCAGACCUAUGUAAAGUUCCUUCGAAGAGUCGAGUUGUUUGGGAAUGCAGCUCUAAGUGGGUGGUAAAUUCCAUCUAAAGCUAAAUAUUGGCGAGAGACCGAUAGCGAACAAGUACAGUGAUGGAAAGAUGAAAAGAACUUUGAAAAGAGAGUGAAAAAGUACGUGAAAUUGUUGAAAGGGAAGGGCUUGAGAUCAGACUUGGUAUUUUGUAUGUUACUCUCUCGGGGGUGGCCUCUACAGUUUACCGGGCCAGCAUCAGUUUGAGCGGUAGGAUAAGUGCAAAGAAAUGUGGCACUGCUUCGGUAGUGUGUUAUAGUCUUUGUCGAUACUGCCAGCUUAGACUGAGGACUGCGGCUUCGGCCUAGGAUGUUGGCAUAAUGAUCUUAAGUCGCCCGUCUUGAAACACGGACCAAGGAGUCUAACGUCUAUGCGAGUGUUUGGGUGUAAAACCCGUACGCGUAAUGAAAGUGAACGUAGGUAGGACCUCCUUUAGGAGUGCACUAUCGACCGAUCCUGAUGUCUUCGGAUGGAUUUGAGUAAGAGCAUAGCUGUUGGGACCCGAAAGAUGGUGAACUAUGCCUGAAUAGGGUGAAGCCAGAGGAAACUCUGGUGGAGGCUCGUAGCGGUUCUGACGUGCAAAUCGAUCGUCGAAUUUGGGUAUAGGGGCGAAAGACUAAUCGAACCAUCUAGUAGCUGGUUCCUGCGA
RNAcentral lists this ribosomal RNA (912 nucleotides) under Lodderomyces parapsilosis. Its description in RNAcentral is "LSU rRNA". It matches the Rfam family "Eukaryotic large subunit ribosomal RNA", at positions 35 to 963 of the family's 3401-position model. The record is from RNAcentral. Lineage: Eukaryota; Fungi; Ascomycota; Pichiomycetes; Serinales; Debaryomycetaceae.